UACAGAGGGUGCGAGCGUUAAUCGGAAUUACUGGGCGUAAAGGGCGCGUAGGUGGUUAAUUAAGUCAGAUGUGAAAUCCCCGGGCUUAACCUGGGAAUGGCAUAUGAAACUGAUUAGCUAGAGUUUGGGAGAGGGAAGUGGAAUUUCAGGUGUAGCGGUGAAAUGCGUAGAUAUCAGAAGGAACACCAGUGGCGAAGGCGGCUUCCUGGCCAGAAACUGACACUGAGGCGCGAAAGCGUGGGGAGCAAACAGG
Molecule: ribosomal RNA, 253 nt
Filed under: uncultured bacterium
Lineage: Bacteria
Description: partial 16S ribosomal RNA
Rfam family: Bacterial small subunit ribosomal RNA
Source: RNAcentral